Long non-coding RNA from Hevea brasiliensis (rubber tree), 246 nucleotides. RefSeq lists it as uncharacterized. The transcript is spliced from 3 exons. Lineage: Eukaryota; Viridiplantae; Streptophyta; Magnoliopsida; Malpighiales; Euphorbiaceae. The record is from RefSeq and is a predicted model, not a curated record.
AAAACCACCAUGAAAGCUCAUUUUUGAGCUUGAAGAACCAAAAUCCAACCAUGGCCAAUUGUCCUACCAUAACUAGAUGUUGUUUGGACAACUAGGAAAGAGGAUUCAAAGAAAAGAAAGAAGAAAAAUUUGAAGAAAAGGGAGAAGAAAUUCUGCACACAAGUUGAAAAGAAUAUCGGGAAGGAACCCGAGGAAACGAGUCGAGGCUAAGGGACGACUCGCUUGAGAUAAAAGCAAGGAGAAAGC